Delphinapterus leucas (beluga whale) is the source of this 925-nucleotide non-coding RNA. The record is from RefSeq and is a predicted model, not a curated record. Lineage: Eukaryota; Metazoa; Chordata; Mammalia; Artiodactyla; Monodontidae.
CCCGGAUGCUCUGAAUGCCACAAGAGCUGCUGUUGACAAAAGAGUCACCUGGAUGCUUUGCUUCAGUGCGUUCCAGGCUUGGAUUCACUGAUCCAGCUAAAUGAAGAGCAAAAAAUUGGUACAGAAAUCAUUCAAAGAACACUCAAAACUCUGGCAAUGACCGUUGCUAAGAAUGCAGGUGUUGAAGGAUAACGGAUAGUUGAGAAAUUUUUGCAAACUUCCUCUGAAGCUGGUUAUGCACCAUGCUGGGCAAUUUUUAAAAUAUGGUGGCAAAAGGAAUCGUCAACCCAACUCAGAUGUUUGGAAAACACAGCAGAAAGAUCCAGAGAGGUGCUUCACUCCCGCAAAGGCCCAACCUCCGCGGCAGGAAGAAUGUAUCCAGGAAAGUUCUCGGAGCCAGGCUCGUCAGACCAGAUCUGCUAGGCUCCGGGUGGCUGUCGUGGAGCUAAUGUUCCUGGACCGUAUCAUCCUGAGAGGGGCAGAAGGUUGGGCACAGAGGAGCUGCUGGGUGUUUUGUGAGUCUGAGCUGAAGCUGAUUAUCACGUCUGGAUGUUACGCAAGUUCUUCCUCACAACCCGGCCUUCUAGCUCAGGAAGGAGCUGUGUCUCAUUCAUCUUGGCAGCCCAGCUCAAGUCCAACAGACAGACGAGCCAACCUUUGGCCACCGUGGGACAAAGAACCCGAGCGGCAAAAAGCUCCCUAGGCUGAGAAGUGUCCCCAGAUUAAACUGUUCCCACUGGCCAGACCUCUCUGCCCCCACCGCUGGCCCGGACUCCCUGAGCUGGCAUCUGGUAUCUCACGGGCUCCCCAGUCCGGCCACAGAGCUACAGCAUGUCACCGGGAGGGUCUUUCCUGGCCCGUGGAACACUGACUCCACAUCACUGAUUUCAUAGACGAAACAUCAUAGGCUUACAGGAAGGAAGGG